Molecule: unclassified non-coding RNA, 604 nt
Filed under: Hevea brasiliensis (rubber tree)
Lineage: Eukaryota; Viridiplantae; Streptophyta; Magnoliopsida; Malpighiales; Euphorbiaceae
Source: RNAcentral
CGAUUACAAAUAACAAGUGAUAUAAGUUAAAGAAAAAAAUUAGUUAAAAUGAUAGAAGUAUAAAUUUCAACGUAAAAUCAAGCCUUCAUCAGGAUAAGAAAAGAUUUCAAAACUUUUCAAAAAAUCAAAAAUAGAACUUAUAAUCAAAGCCAACUUAUUAUUACUUUGGAACUCAAAACAAUCACACAUUCUCUCCAACGAUAUUCUUCCUCCACCACCCUUCUUUGCCAAGAAAAUGCAGACUAAAACGCCAAGCAAGAAAGGCUUCCGCCUCCGCUCCAUCGUCCUCCACUCCUUGUGGAUAACCAUCAUCGGUAUACUCCUGUUCCGCCUAGCCACGGCCAACACACAGAGAGUUCUCUACGUCAAAUUCUUUGCAAUAUCCGGUACUAUUCUCGCCACUGUUCCUUGGAUCUUUCAUCUUCUCGUUUCAACAACAAUCAUAUUAUUAUACAAAGCCAAUGUCUGUGAUCUAACAUGGAUUGUCAAGUUGCCCUCUGAAGAGACUUCAUGUUGCCAGGAGAUGAAGGCAGUGAAGGAAGCCAUCAGAGGAAGUGAUCGGAUUGGUAUUGGAACUGCACACAAAGAUCUGUUUUUCUGUCUG